Molecule: ribosomal RNA, 460 nt
Filed under: uncultured bacterium
Lineage: Bacteria
Description: partial 16S ribosomal RNA
Rfam family: Bacterial small subunit ribosomal RNA
Source: RNAcentral
CCUACGGGUGGCAGCAGUGAGGAAUAUUGGUCAAUGGGCGGGAGCCUGAACCAGCCAAGUCGCGUGAGGGAAGAAGGUACUGAGUAUUGUAAACCUCUUUUGCCAGGGGACAAAGGCGGCCACGGGUGGCCGUAUGAGGGUACCUGGAGAAAAAGCAUCGGCUAACUCCGUGCCAGCAGCCGCGGUAAUACGGAGGAUGCGAGCGUUAUCCGGAUUUAUUGGGUUUAAAGGGAGCGUAGAUGGGUUGUUAAGUCAGUUGUGAAAGUUUGCGGCUCAACCGUAAAAUUGCAAUUGAUACUGGCAGUCUUGAGUACAGUUGAGGUAGGCGGAAUUCGUGGUGUAGCGGUGAAAUGCUUAGAUAUCACGAAGAACCCCGAUUGCGAAGGCAGCUUACUAAACUGUGACUGACAUUGAUGCUCGAAAGUGUGGGUAUCAAACAGGAUUAGAUACCCCGGUAGUC